UUUCCGCACUACACUAUAGGGGAAAAAAUCUGUUCUCUCAACGAGAGGGAAGCCCAUAACCCUUGGGAGUAUUAGGAUAUGUUUGAGGGAUAAUUUCUGAACACUGCUAAAAAGUUAUACCCGUCGUUCUAACUGCUCUUAACCAUAUUCGAAAGUCAAGUGCUGGAAUCCGCCUAAAUUGUGUAAACUCCAUUUAAGCUAAUAUUGUUCAGUGACCGUUGCCAACCAGUACGUGAGGAAAGAUGAAAAGAACCUGAAAAGGGGUUAAAGUACGUGAAAUUGUUAUAGAAAGCACUUAGUCUCAUGUGAUUAUUACAGUCUGUUUCGGCAGAUACUGUUUUAAUUAGUAUGAUCAGUUAAGAUUGAUAAAGAAAAUUUGUGAUAAGGUAUUAGUGUAAUGCUAAACUAAAGAUCACUUAUUAUUUAUCGACAUUGACUGAGGAAUGCUACUUAAUCUUUUUGAGUUGCUAGUUUGUGGAGUUAGAUUAAACAACAUGUUGAUUAAUUUAAUUAAAGCAAUCUACUAGCUUUAAAACUUAAGUACAGGAUCAUAAUUAAAUGAUACUAAAUGACCCGUCUUGAAACACGGACCAAGGAGUCUAACAUGAUUGCGAGUUACAGGGUGAAAAACCUUUGAGCGCAAUGAAAGUGAUAAAGAUAGGAUAGGUUAAACUUGCACUAUCAACCUAAACUGAUGAUUUUUUCUGACGUUUUAGAGUUAGAGCAGUCAUGUUGGGACCCGAAAGAUGGUGAGCUAUGCUUGAAUAGGGCAAAGCCAGAGGAAACUCUGGUGGAGGCUCGUAGCGAUUCUGACGUGCAAAUCGAUCGUCAAAUUGAGCAUAGGGCGAAAGACUAAUCGACUCUAUGUUC
RNAcentral lists this ribosomal RNA (870 nucleotides) under Conidiobolus macrosporus. RNAcentral describes it as "partial 28S ribosomal RNA". It matches the Rfam family "Eukaryotic large subunit ribosomal RNA", at positions 73 to 947 of the family's 3401-position model. Lineage: Eukaryota; Fungi; Entomophthoromycota; Entomophthoromycetes; Entomophthorales; Conidiobolaceae. The record is from RNAcentral.